AUUGAACGCUGGCGGCAUGCUUUACACAUGCAAGUCGAACGGUAACAGGCCGCAAGGUGCUGACGAGUGGCGAACGGGUGAGUAAUGCAUCUGAACGUGCCCCGUCGUGUGGGAUAACUACUCGAAAGAGUAGCUAAUACCACAUACGAUCUAUGGAUGAAAGCGGGGGACCGUAUGGCCUCGCGCGCUUGGAGCGGCCGAUGUCAGAUUAGGUAGUUGGUGGGGUAAAGGCUCACCAAGCCAACGAUCUGUAGCUGGUCUGAGAGGACGACCAGCCACACUGGGACUGAGACACGGCCCAGACUCCUACGGGAGGCAGCAGUGGGGAAUUUUGGACAAUGGGCGCAAGCCUGAUCCAGCAAUGCCGCGUGCAGGAAGAAGGCCUUCGGGUUGUAAACUGCUUUUGUACGGAACGAAACGGCUCUGGUUAAUACCCGGGGCUAAUGACGGUACCGUAAGAAUAAGCACCGGCUAACUACGUG
RNAcentral lists this ribosomal RNA (482 nucleotides) under uncultured bacterium. Its description in RNAcentral is "partial 16S ribosomal RNA". It matches the Rfam family "Bacterial small subunit ribosomal RNA", at positions 30 to 507 of the family's 1533-position model. The record is from RNAcentral.